This 482-nucleotide ribosomal RNA is filed under the name uncultured bacterium. Its description in RNAcentral is "partial 16S ribosomal RNA". It matches the Rfam family "Bacterial small subunit ribosomal RNA", at positions 30 to 507 of the family's 1533-position model. The record is from RNAcentral.
AUUGAACGCUGGCGGCAUACCUUACACAUGCAAGUCGAACGGUAACAGGUCUUCGGAUGCUGACGAGUGGCGAACGGGUGAGUAAUACAUCGGAACGUGCCCGAUCGUGGGGGAUAACGAAGCGAAAGCUUUGCUAAUACCGCAUACGAUCUACGGAUGAAAGCAGGGGACCGCAAGGCCUUGCGCGAACGGAGCGGCCGAUGGCAGAUUAGGUAGUUGGUGGGAUAAAAGCUUACCAAGCCGACGAUCUGUAGCUGGUCUGAGAGGACGACCAGCCACACUGGGACUGAGACACGGCCCAGACUCCUACGGGAGGCAGCAGUGGGGAAUUUUGGACAAUGGGCGAAAGCCUGAUCCAGCCAUGCCGCGUGCAGGAUGAAGGCCUUCGGGUUGUAAACUGCUUUUGUACGGAACGAAAAGACUCUGGUUAAUACCUGGGGUCCAUGACGGUACCGUAAGAAUAAGCACCGGCUAACUACGUG